Dendroctonus ponderosae (mountain pine beetle) is the source of this 350-nucleotide long non-coding RNA. RefSeq lists it as uncharacterized. The transcript has 2 exons. NCBI's taxonomy places the organism in Eukaryota, Metazoa, Arthropoda, Insecta, Coleoptera, Curculionidae. The record is from RefSeq and is a predicted model, not a curated record.
AGACUUGUUCGUAACGCAGUUCCAAAUAGAUUUAUUGAAAUUGAGUGUACCGGGGGGGAAAGCUCUAUGGAAAAUGUAGCACCAGUUAUUCCUGAUACUUGGGUGGAAAAUGUUCCAUUAACUACCAGUGAUAUGACUGAUAAAUGCCAGCCAGGCACAUCGAAUCAACCUCCAGUAACUCCUACUAGAAAGUUGUUUCGAAGUGUUGAAGGGUUGAGCAAUAUAGAAAAUUCCCCAAGGAAAUUAAAAUUAAUUCGCAUAAUCAACAGAAAAGAAAAUCAGUUGAGAAAAGUGAAACGUUUGUGUAAGAAGAGAGGCAAUGACAUUAAAGCUUUGGCAAAUUUAUCGGA